This 270-nucleotide ribosomal RNA is filed under the name uncultured bacterium. Its description in RNAcentral is "partial 16S ribosomal RNA". It matches the Rfam family "Bacterial small subunit ribosomal RNA", at positions 30 to 302 of the family's 1533-position model. The record is from RNAcentral.
AUUGAACGCUGGCGGAAUGCUUUACACAUGCAAGUCGAGCGGCAGCGCGGGGCAACCUGGCGGCGAGCGGCGAACGGGUGAGUAAUGCAUCGGAACAUGUCCAUUCGUGGGGGAUAGCCCGGCGAAAGCCGGAUUAAUACCGCAUACGCCCUGAGGGGGAAAGUGGGGGACCGCAAGGCCUCACGCGAAUGGGUUGGCCGAUGUCCGAUUAGCUAGUUGGUGGGGUAAAGGCUUACCAAGGCGAUGAUCGGUAGCUGGUCUGAGAGGAUG